CAACUUUCAACAACGGAUCUCUUGGUUCUGGCAUCGAUGAAGAACGCAGCGAAAUGCGAUAAGUAGUGUGAAUUGCAGAAUUCAGUGAAUCAUCGAAUCUUUGAACGCACAUUGCGCCCUUUGGUAUUCCAAAGGGCAUGCCUGUUCGAGCGUCAUUUGUACCCUCAA
This 168-nucleotide ribosomal RNA is filed under the name Alternaria sp. KMN-1. RNAcentral's name for it is "5.8S ribosomal RNA". It matches the Rfam family "5.8S ribosomal RNA". Rfam says of the family: 5.8S ribosomal RNA (5.8S rRNA) is a component of the large subunit of the eukaryotic ribosome. Lineage: Eukaryota; Fungi; Ascomycota; Dothideomycetes; Pleosporales; Pleosporaceae. The record is from RNAcentral.